AGAGUUUGAUCCUGGCUCAGAUUGAACGCUGGCGGCAUGCCUAACACAUGCAAGUCGAACGGAAACGAUGGGAGCUUGCUCCCAGGCGUCGAGUGGCGGACGGGUGAGUAAUACUUAGGAAUCUACCCAGUAGCGGGGGACAACUCGAGGAAACUCGAGCUAAUACCGCAUACGCCCUACGGGGGAAAGCAGGGGAUCUUCGGACCUUGCACUAUUGGAUGAGCCUAAGUCGGAUUAGCUUGUUGGUGAGGUAAAGGCUCACCAAGGCGACGAUCCGUAGCUGGUCUGAGAGGACGAUCAGCCACACUGGGACUGAGACACGGCCCAGACUCCUACGGGAGGCAGCAGUGGGGAAUAUUGGACAAUGGGGGCAACCCUGAUCCAGCAAUGCCGCGUGUGUGAAGAAGGCCUGCGGGUUGUAAAGCACUUUCAGUAGAGAAGAAAAGCCCACGGCUAAUACCCGUGAGUCUUGACGUUACCUACAGAAGAAGCUCCGGCUAACUCCGUGCCAGCAGCCGCGGUAAUACGGAGGGAGCGAGCGUUAAUCGGAAUUACUGGGCGUAAAGCGCGCGUAGGCGGCUUUGUAAGUCGGAUGUGAAAGCCCUGGGCUCACCCUGGGAAUGGCAUUCGAUACUGCAGAGCUAGAGUAUGGUAGAGGGAAGUGGAAUUUCCGGUGUAGCGGUGAAAUGCGUAGAUAUC
This 699-nucleotide ribosomal RNA is filed under the name uncultured bacterium. RNAcentral's name for it is "bacterial SSU rRNA". It matches the Rfam family "Bacterial small subunit ribosomal RNA", at positions 8 to 698 of the family's 1533-position model. The record is from RNAcentral.